UCCGGCUUACACCGGCGGUCUCCCGUGAGUGCCCGACUUUCUCGCUGGUAACACAGGACGUGGGUUGCGCUCGUUGGCGGACUUAACCGUACACCUCACGGCACGAGCUGACGACAGCCAUGCAACAAGUGUCUUCUGGCCUCCUUGUGAGAGGGGGACCCCUUUCAGGGCCUUUCCAUCGAUGUCAAGUCUGGGUAAGGUUCUUCGGUUAGUAUCGAAUUAAUCCACAUGCUCCACCGCUUGUGCGGGUCCCCGUCAAUUCAUUUGAGUUUCAACCUUGCGGCCGUACUCCCCAGGCGGGAUACUUAGUGCGUUAGCUGCGGCACAAGGGGGGUCGAUACCCCUUACGCCUAGUAUCCAUCGUUUAGGGCGUGGACUAC
This 380-nucleotide unclassified non-coding RNA is filed under the name uncultured Armatimonadota bacterium. RNAcentral's name for it is "uncultured Armatimonadetes bacterium contains 16S-23S intergenic spacer region". The record is from RNAcentral. Lineage: Bacteria; Bacillati; Armatimonadota.